GGCACGACGAGCUCAAGGAGAGACCCAUUGCGUCCACCAUUUUUUUUAAAGGAAUGGAGCGCACGAACGCUCAUGCACCAAGAAAGGCUUCAGAAGUCAUAACUGUAAACAAACCCAAAGCAAGAACAUCGUAAAGCAAGAUAUCUGUGAGAUGGAUGGACCAGGAAGACCUCAACAUAAAGUAAAUCAGAUUCCAGAAGAGGAUACUGAUCUUCCUACUCAGUCACAGGGGGAAAGAUAUCUUAUAGGUCAGACUGUUUGUCUUUCCAGCCUAGCAUUGUCUGACUGGCAAUAGCUCUUCAGGGUCUCAGGCAUUUCCCCAUCACUGGUGUCAUGCCCUUGCUAGAGGAAUCGUCCUGAGACAAGGAAGCAGAGCCCCCAGAAACCAGGGACAUACCACAUCAAGCACUGGCACCAGAUCAGGAGGAGCCUGGGCCUUCAGGGGAGAUGACUCCAGGUCCUUCCCUGCCAGGGGGAGGGGACUCUGACUCUGGCGCAUUGGCUGAGCAACCCCCCAUCCCCCAGGAGCAUUGUCGCUUCAUGCGUCAAGCCACUAGGCCUCCUGUAAGAAGGAAUGCUCAUUUGAAAAAAUGGUCUCUUCAGGAGAAAGGAACUCUUCUUGAGUAGGGCUCUGGUCAGAGAGCUCUGAUGGACAGCAGCUGACCCUGGGUGGGGCUCAGCAGCCUUUGUGAAUAAAAGCCAGCAGUGCGAGCUUGCUAGAAAUAAGGCCUCAUCAGCUUCUCCUGCCUUGUCUCCUGGCACUGCCUUGUUCUUGAACCCCUGUGCUACAACCUUGGACUCCAGCUUGACUCUGCUACUGGAUUAGGGCUUCUCCACCACUAUUACUGGGAAAAAUCUACUACGAAAGUCAACAUUCUGGGAGCUGAAGACCAAAGUGCAAACAAUUUAUUUGAUUCCUCUGGCCUUUAAUUAAAUAUUUUGACAGGCCUUAUAGUUCAUUGCUUUAAAGUGAGUGCCUGCGAGCAGGAGAUUAAUUUAUGCUUAUUUUAAUUGCUGGAUUCCAUUGCAGCAGUUGCUGCAUCAAAAAACAAAUACAUCACAUAAAUAAAAUAUGAAUUCAAACAAAUGAGUAAUAAUGAAUAUAUCAGCCUAAAGGCAAUUGGUGUUUUAUAUCAGAGGCUAUUUAUGAUGUACUAAUUAAGUCAGAUUCACAUUCCUGAUACAGUUUUGAAUAUUUGGCCUUUGUUCUUCCUUUAUGUACAUGUCAUGUACCUCAUGAUUUUAUAUACAUUGAGGUUGCCCCCUCCCACCACUUUUUAUUGGAUUUUUUCCAGAUGUGAUUUCUUACACACACUUUUCAGGUUCUUGUAAGGUGUUCUCCUUUGGUGAUAAAGUGUCUGGAGUUAGGGAGGGGGACAGAUGCAUAAUAAUCUGAAUUGCAGUAACAUUUUAUCACCACAUACAUUAGCUUCCUCUUCCAAACAGGUACUAAAUACUGUGGGUGCAAUCCUGCCCUUUGUAAACAAGCUGGGCAGCAUGUAUUCAGAGUAGAACAAAGACUCAGAGCUAUUUGUACUGCAUGAUGGAUGAGGGCAAGAAAUCAUGGUCUAUGCUAGAACAAGUGAUUCCAGACCUUUCCUCUACAUGUGUGUGUGUGAG
This is a long non-coding RNA of Elgaria multicarinata webbii, 1620 nucleotides long. RefSeq lists it as uncharacterized. The record is from RefSeq and is a predicted model, not a curated record. The transcript has 4 exons. NCBI's taxonomy places the organism in Eukaryota, Metazoa, Chordata, Lepidosauria, Squamata, Anguidae.